RNAcentral lists this long non-coding RNA (414 nucleotides) under Physcomitrium patens. RNAcentral describes it as "long non-coding RNA (PPAT_LNC008761)". Lineage: Eukaryota; Viridiplantae; Streptophyta; Bryopsida; Funariales; Funariaceae. The record is from RNAcentral.
GAGUAGAUGGGUUCUAUUUAGAAGCAAUUAGGCUUUAAUUGAUACACCACGUAUAUGUCCAAAUGGAUACUAUUUGCUACGAUAGGAAUGCUUGAAAGUAUGGCGUUUAAUUGGAUAGCUUUUGUAGCCACUAGAAUCUAUGCGGAGAUGGGAGUCAAGCGGAAGAUAGAAAAAUUUGCGUCUUUGCUUUGUUCUAAUUAUGUAUACUCCAUGAUUGUAUAUAUAUUGACUCAAACACUAUUAGUAAGGGAGAAAAAUAUGCCUUGUCCAGUGCCUCAAUUAAGUAUUCCGAGUUUAACGGCAUUGACAGCUAGUCUAGGGGUCGUGGUACACAAAAUUGGAGAAUCAAGUAACUCGUUGAGAUAGGAGGCUAUACCAGAGAUUACAUCAGAGCAGAUUCUAAUUUAUUUGGCG